UAAGGGCGCACGGUGGAUGCCUUGGCACUAGAAGCCGAUGAAGGACGUUACUAACGACGAUAUGCUUUGGGGAGCUGUAAGUAAGCUUUGAUCCAGAGAUUUCCGAAUGGGGAAACCCAGCAUGAGUUAUGUCAUGUUAUCGAUAUGUGAAUACAUAGCAUAUCAGAAGGCACACCCGGAGAACUGAAACAUCUUAGUACCCGGAGGAAGAGAAAGAAAAUUCGAUUCCCUUAGUAGCGGCGAGCGAAACGGGAAGAGCCCAAACCAACAAGCUUGCUUGUUGGGGUUGUAGGACACUCUAUACGGAGUUACAAAGGACGACAUUAGACGAAUCAUCUGGAAAGAUGAAUCAAAGAAGGUAAUAAUCCUGUAGUCGAAAAUGUUGUCUCUCUUGAGUGGAUCCUGAGUACGACGGAGCACGUGAAAUUCCGUCGGAAUCUGGGAGGACCAUCUCCUAAGGCUAAAUACUCUCUAGUGACCGAUAGUGAACCAGUACCGUGAGGGAAAGGUGAAAAGCACCCCGGAAGGGGAGUGAAAUAGAACCUGAAACCGUGUGCUUACAAGUAGUCAGAGCCCGUUAAUGGGUGAUGGCGUGCCUUUUGUAGAAUGAACCGGCGAGUUACGAUUUGAUGCAAGGUUAAGCAGUAAAUGU
This 652-nucleotide ribosomal RNA is filed under the name Staphylococcus aureus. Its description in RNAcentral is "partial 23S ribosomal RNA". It matches the Rfam family "Bacterial large subunit ribosomal RNA", at positions 12 to 661 of the family's 2925-position model. The record is from RNAcentral. Lineage: Bacteria; Bacillati; Bacillota; Bacilli; Caryophanales; Staphylococcaceae.